RNA transcript from Schistocerca nitens (vagrant locust), 2527 nucleotides. It is a transcript of the gene named probable peptidyl-tRNA hydrolase 2, with no coding region annotated. The transcript has 5 exons. The record is from RefSeq and is a predicted model, not a curated record. Lineage: Eukaryota; Metazoa; Arthropoda; Insecta; Orthoptera; Acrididae.
UAUUUUCACUACGCACUCUUUAAUCUCUAUGGGACUAUUACAUCAAUACCGUUAGAGUACAGUGUACAGAUUCUCAAGUAAAGUGAAUACUCAAAGGGACGUUCGUUUUCAUGCGCUAGCCAAGCGGUCUGUGCGCAGUCUGAGAAGGGAUUUUGUUUUCAUUUUGUUAAAGGCUGAAACGGAAAUUCGUUCUCAAACUCAUAAUAAUGUCAAAUAAAAACUAAGUUUAGAAACGACAGUAGUUUUGUUUUUACUAAUCGCAUGUACGAAAGUAUCUCUGAGUGUUUUAUUUACAAUAAUGUCUUUGAAAGAACUGGCAGUGGGGAAAUUGGCAGAGUUUUGAAUCUGUUGUUUGUGGUCUCUAACUUCCUGGUAAUUUGAAGAAUAUCGUAAUAUUGAAUAAUCUGCAGUAAGUGAAAUUUGUACGCGUUUUUGUGUCGUAUAACACCUGGUAUCAAUGGAUGGUGAGUGGAAACCAAAUGAAGAGAGCUUGCAACAACUGUUGGAAAUGGGAAUAUCGAAGGAAGAUGCGGAAGAAGCACUGAGGAACACUGGAAACUCAUCAGUCGUUUUUGCUGCUGAUUAUGCAUUUGCAAAGCAAGAUAAGAUUGACCCAUUUCUGUCUAGAGUAUACCAUAUAUCAGAAGGCUGUAAAAUGGUAUUUGUUGUAAACACUGAUCUUGGCAUGAGCAUAGGGAAAACUGCGGCACAGAUGUCGCAGCCCUCGUGUGUGAUCUGGCAUUGUCUUGCUGAAGGAGAGGGCACUCCAUCUGUGGACGAACUCUUCGAAUUCGAAACUUGAUUAAAGCAUGCUGUGUUUGUCAUGCACCAACAUAGUUACAUUACACACAGCCAUGUUACACGCUACAAUUGGGAGUCCUCUAGCGGCAGAGGGCUGCAAGUUGGGCAUGCAACAUUGGGCCUUUACCAGAAAUUAACAGCUUCACCACAGUAUGCUGAAGAUUUGAUUAAUUGGGAAGAUAACGGUGGAAAAAUGGUCGUCCUUAAGGGUCUUAACUACCAGCACCUGAAAUUGCUAGAAAAAGAGGCUGAGGUGAAUAAACUUCCAGCACACUGUAUUACAGAUGCUGGCCUUACUGAAGUACAGUCUGGUUCAACAACUGUAUUAGCAAUUUUUGGCAAAGAAACUCAAGUUAAUAAUGUUACCGGAGAACUAGCCCUGUUGCAAUAGGGGAAGAAAUGUUACCAUAUUGGCGAAAAACACUUAAAACCAGCUUUGUUAUUGCAGUGCUUGUGUCCAUAGAAAUUGUAUACAUAAAUUAUGUACUAACAAUUUUUUAAAAAAUGAGAUGUUUUUUCUCUCUGCUUGUUUUACAGAUAGUGUAAUACAUGCCAAGAAAUGCACAACGAAAUUGCUUAUUGCAGUGAGUAGUUACAACAUAACUGUAGAUUUAUUGCAAAACAGUUUUUGAUUUUGCGCAUUUGUUUCAAUUUGUUUCAGUGACAAGAUUUUAUGUACACUCAAGUGCUUAAAAUGUACAUUGUUUCUCUUGAACUGUUGUUAGGUUGCUUCAGUUGAUAAGUAUUUCAGCACGACCAAAUGAAGUUUAGGCGUAACCUGUUACUUGUGCAAUAUUUAUAUUUUGAUAUUGAACUGCCAAAUAUCAUUGUCCAUACAAACCUGAGAGAAUUUGGUUGAAGUAGCUGUUUAAUACUUGUAUAUAAACUUGUAACUUAAUAUUUAAUCCAUGAUGUUGGUUCUACAAAGACUAUGUUAUGUGUUAAGCUCUAUGAUUGCAAGACAAAGAAAUGAAGCACAGGGAGGAAAAACAAAAGCUAGAAGUUAAAUGCGAGGACUUCUGUUGCUUCGUUAUCUUAUUUGUGCUUAUAGAGGUAGUUUUCCGUGACAUGUUGAGUGGUUUCUGUUCGUUACACUAUGAAUUCAAGAAUAAGCAAAAACAGAUCCUCACUGUUAUUUUUAUUUGUCUAUACUGCAUUGUAUAUGAAAAAGAUGCUGCCAAGGUGCUAUCAGAUAGUGUUGACUGUUAAGUAUUUAAUGCCAGUGAUAUAGUAACAGAGUGAUAUAGAAGGCAGCACAAGCAUAUCAUGUAGAACUCUGUUGUUAAAGCAAGAAGACAUUAGCCAUAUUUUAUGAAACCUGUAUCAGUGAUGUGAGAUAGUUAUAUUUAUGUAUAAAAGGUUUUCCCUCAUUUAGUGAAGUUAAUGGAUACUACAGUUUCGAUCAUGACAUUUGAACAGUUUUAUUUUUACAAGGUUUUACUGUUGUUUUAUGUUGUUUAGGCAAGUCUUAUAAAGCAUUAUCAUGCUGACUUUGUACCUCAGUAAACUCUUUGCACAGAUGUGUAGGAGUUAAUAACAUAAAUUAACAAUAAACACAUACUUCUUUAGCAGAAUUUUGAGUUUUUGUACUCUGUCUCUCCUGUUAUGCAAGAAUGUAAGUCUUAAUAGUGGACUCACAAACAUACAGAAAAUUGGGUGAUUUUUACUACUUCGUGUCAUUGGAAAUUUCUGUUGUAGAAUGAGAAUGACAUUCAAUAAAAAUUAG